GGCAAUUCUACUUCUUCAAAAAUUGUUCCCACAGCAAUCAAUGGAAAACCUAGAGUGGUCUGUCUUGGAGAAGAGGCACUGUGUGUUUCUCUCCUUCCCUCUCUAUCCCUUUCCCUGUUCCCACUCUGCCUGAGUCAGAGGAGCCUACGUUUCCAAUUAGAAGUCAGCGGCAGAGCCGAGCAGCUGUUCAGAAAUGUCCAAGCGGAUGACAAAUGGAGCUCAUGGCGUGGAUGGAGUUAAUGGCGGAUUUGGAAAUUCUAUGGACACCUUAAACUCAACUUGUCUUGAUGAGAUAACUGUGUUAUGUGUAUGGGAGGCACAGAUGUCCUUGUGAGAAGUAAACAAGAGAAACUGAUACAGAGGAGAAGCCCAAGUGAGCCUGCAGGAAGACUCGAGUGAUGUGCCACAAGCCAAGGAGAGCAGCAGCCUCUAAAAACAGGAAGAAGCAAGAAAAGAAUUCUAUCCGAGAGCCUCCAGAGGAAUUUGAUGAUGCCCCGAGUUUGGUCCUGUGGUUGUAAUUUUAGACUUUUAGCUUCAGAGAUGAGAUGAUACAUUUUUUUUUUUUUUUUUUAGUUUUAUGACACUGAAUUUAUGGUAACUUUUUACAGCAGCCAAAACUAACUAACACGCAUAUACUUCUAUCAUACUAUCAUCACCACCUAUUCACCAUGUUUAUUAUGCGUUGUUG
This 688-nucleotide long non-coding RNA is filed under the name Cavia porcellus (domestic guinea pig). Its description in RNAcentral is "lncRNA (ENSCPOG00000037961.1)". The record is from RNAcentral. Lineage: Eukaryota; Metazoa; Chordata; Mammalia; Rodentia; Caviidae.